This is a long non-coding RNA of Mauremys mutica (yellowpond turtle), 1525 nucleotides long. RefSeq lists it as uncharacterized. The record is from RefSeq and is a predicted model, not a curated record. The transcript has 3 exons. NCBI's taxonomy places the organism in Eukaryota, Metazoa, Chordata, Testudines, Geoemydidae.
CAGAGAGAAGAGACGCUGGAGACUGUGGGAUUGUGUUCUACGCUGGGCUGCCCUGUAUUUUCAGCCUUCUCCUGAUCCAGCUGUUGAUCUUGCUCUGGAGAAAGUGCCCCGUCAGAGGGAGAGCUGUGCAAAGACAGAAGGAAAUACCUAUGAGGCAGAUCCCACAGACUGAAUAUGCGGCUCUGACGUACAAUAACAGAAACGCUCCCCUGUGACUGAUGUAGUCUCACAAAAGUGGUUUAUAUUUUUUAAAACAAGAGAUACAGAAAGAAAGAAUGAAAGAGAAAGCGAGAUAAAUAUGGAAAAUCUCAUGUUUGUAAUGUUCUAUAACGUGAUGUGCAUUUGCUUCAAAUACAAGCACUUCCAUAGUCAGUUCUCUGAACCCAUAGUCUGAGCAGACACCUCCAUUCUUGCAAAAAAAGCUGUGUGGGGUCAUUAGCAAUUUGCCUGCAGGUUUGUGGGGCAUUGAUUUUACAUCUCACGUCAAACAUGUCACUUCCUGCACCAUAGCCCCCGUCACUGAAUUCACUCACCGUAGGGCGCCUCCUUCUGACUGCUCAUGGGAUUAACUCCUUCCAGCUCCAGAGCACUGGAAAUUAUACUAAAACUAUGCACAAGUGACUGGAAGAGCAUCUCAACUGCAGCAGAACUGUCCUAAGCUACCAGACAUCGUGAAAGCUGAUGUCCUAUUGAAAAGGCUCCUUUCUCAAUUCCAAACCUUAAUACAAUGAUUAAUGCAAAAUUUUACCCAUGAAAGAGAAAAGAGGAAACUUGGCAAACAGCAUGAUUGUAACAAACAAUAUCCUGAAAGAUGAAAUCUAAAAGCUCACUUCUCGUACGCUGCUUAAGAGCAAAAGGUCCAACAUCCUGGUCAGUUUGGGUGACGAACGCCUCAUGUGGGGAUCUGCUGCGGCAUUUGAAUGAAAUAUGGAUCUAUUUUAAUGAUUCAGAAUAAUAAAUAACCACCAGGAGUCACACACUAUAGAAUGUGCAAGAGAUAGUUCAACACAAAACAUCUAGUGCAGAGACAGCAUGUACCAGGGCUGUCUGACAGGUUAGACAACAGCCCACAAGACUGGUUAAUGGUGCAAUUGUGUAGACAGCAUUGUACCUUCUGCCUAUUGCAAAUGAUUUUCCGAAGAGAUCAGCACCCACCACUGGGGCCAGAAUUCUAAAGAGCCCAGUUUCCUAAACAGGCUUGAAGCCCCUUCCCAUUGGCCGCCCCAAGCACAUGCUUUGUUCACUGGUGCCUGGAGCUGGCCCUGAUUGAGGGCAGCAGUUUACACUUCCUUGGUUACCAAAAGCUAGGAGAGAGACCGGAGAAAGCAAUCAGCCCAAACACUUUGCGAGCUGAACAAACAAAAGAAAAGUGGCAAAACAAGUGGGCUGAAACUGACCACAGCAGCAAGUGCAGCUUUCCAAGCAGCUAUUUUUAAACGAUUGGCCCUUUGCAGCAAACAUGUCCUGUAGCCUGUGGUUUUAUAAGAUCAGUUUCAAUUUGUUUGACCCUUCUGUGUCCUUGCUG